Molecule: ribosomal RNA, 130 nt
Filed under: Vibrio harveyi
Lineage: Bacteria; Pseudomonadati; Pseudomonadota; Gammaproteobacteria; Vibrionales; Vibrionaceae
Description: partial 23S ribosomal RNA
Rfam family: Bacterial large subunit ribosomal RNA
Source: RNAcentral
GGUUAAGUGACUAAGCGUACACGGUGGAUGCCUUGGCAGUCAGAGGCGAUGAAGGACGUAUUAACUUGCGAUAAGCCCAGAUUAGGUAGUAAAAACCAUUUGAGUCUGCGAUUUCCGAAUGGGGGAACCC